Molecule: long non-coding RNA, 375 nt
Organism: Austrofundulus limnaeus
Lineage: Eukaryota; Metazoa; Chordata; Actinopteri; Cyprinodontiformes; Rivulidae
Exons: 2
Source: RefSeq, a predicted model, not a curated record
CCGGGUUGUCCGUCAGACUGUAGGUUGGAUCCCAGUGCAAAUCCGUGAUAUGCCAAAAACUCCCUGUGGAAAACCGAUGCGUAAUUACGCACAUGCGAGGGUCUCAUGGAAAAGCAGACAAGAUACGAGCAACCUCACCGGAGACAUGUUGGACUCUGAAAACAUCCGUCAAAAACCGAGGAGAGGUCAGACUAAAGACCGAAGGAAGAUAAGAUAGAGGCAGCUGCGCAUGACGUGUUUGCCUGCAAAGUGGGUUAUAUCAAAGCAACCCUCUUACAGUACAAGUUACAGGCUAUAAAUAUAUUAAUGUAACUAUGAACAUAUUUACAUCAACCGAAUAAAUUAUAGUAAAGCUGACAAUAAUAAUAAAAAAAA